Molecule: long non-coding RNA, 1623 nt
Filed under: Ornithorhynchus anatinus (platypus)
Lineage: Eukaryota; Metazoa; Chordata; Mammalia; Monotremata; Ornithorhynchidae
Description: lncRNA (ENSOANG00000039668.1)
Source: RNAcentral
AUGCUGCUGCUGCUGCUGCUGCUGCUGCUGCUGCUGCUGCUGCUGCUGCUGCUGCUGCUGCAGCAGAUGCGGCCCCGGAGCGUCGUCCCGUCCCGGAGGAUGCCCUUGGCCCGGCCGAUGCUCCGAGCGGGGGUCGGCGGCGGGGGACGGAGGGCCCCCCCGCCUCCGAGCCUCCGGGAACCGCGGCUCGCCCAGGCUGUAGGCGUACAGCUGCAGGAGGGACCCGCCCCGCGCCGCCGCCGCCGCCGCCGCCGCCGCCGCCGCGCUCCCUCCUCCUCCUCCGAAGAGAGCGGCGGGGGGCUGAGGCCGCGGGGCCACGGCGUAGGGGCCGAGCGCCGGGUAGCCGGCGGCCCACAGCAGCCGCGCGGCCGGGGGAUGGCCCCGGGGCUCGGCGCUCGGCUCCCCGCGGCGGCGGAAGGGCUUGCUGAGGAUGCUGUCGAUGGCGAAGGAGCUGGAGAACUUGCCCGCCGCGCCCGGACCCGCGCCCUCCUCCUUGCAGCGCGGCGGGCAGGGCGAGGGGGACGAGGGGGCGGCCGGCGGGGGAGCCGAGGCCGGCGGGGGCGGGAGGAGGAGGGCGGGGCCGGUCCCCGCGGCCGCCGGCUCCUCCUCGGGCGGCCGGGCCGCGGGAUCCUCCGCCGCCGCCGCCGCCGCCGCCACGGCCGCCGCCGCCGCCACGGCCGCCUUGUGGCCCAGCCUCUUGCGGCGGCGGCGGAAGACCCCGUCGGCGAAGGUGUACUCGCUGUUGGGGUUGAGCAUCCAGUAGUUGUCCUUGCCCCAGGGCCGCGAGGGGUCGCGCAACACCUUGACGAAGCAGUCGUUGAGCGACAGGUUGUGGCGCACCGAGUUGCGCCAGCCCGUGUAGCUGCCGCGGAAGAAGGGGAACUUGGCCAUGAGGUACUCGUUGAUCUCGGCCAGCGUCAGGCGGCCCCCGGCCGAGUCGCGGAUGGCCAUGGCGAUCAGCGCGAUGUAGGAGUAGGGGGGCUUCGGCCGCCGGGUGUACGGCUUGGUCCGCCCGCCCCCGGCCCCGGCCGCGGCGUCUCCCCCGACCGCGGCCCCGGAGCCGCCGCCCGAGCCGUGGGCGGCGCAGUCCCCGUCCGAGCCCGGCUCGUCCUCUCCGGGGCCCGACACCGGAGACAACGGGCCGCCGCCGCCUGCUCUUGCUCCUGCUCCGCCCGCCCCCUCCAGGUGGCCGCCCGUUUCGGCGUCGCCAUUGGCGCGGAGGGCGAAGACGUCCAACUUCAUCCCCCCGCUGGGCUCAGCCCGGGCGCCCCCCGCGCCCUCCCGGAGCGGAGCCCCGCCGACCCGCUCCUCGCCGCCUCCUUCUGUCCCGGGGCGGUGGCCCGAGCUGGUGGAGGGGCCGGGGCCGUCCGGCUCCCCUCCUGGCCCUCGGGAGCGUCCCGUCCCGUCCCGUGCGAUCCCGUCCCGUCCCGUGCGGUCCCGUCCGGUCCCCGCCCCCCGGGCCGUCGGCCUGCGCGGACCCUCGGGUCCCGGCGGAGUCAGGGGAGGCUGGCGAAGAGCUUAGGCGGCGGGACGCGGGACACUCGGAAGGAAGGAGGCAACCAACCCCAAGGACCGGCUCCCGAGGCCGCCCCGGCCGGGGCCAGACCCCACCCCAAGCCUUAA